This 213-nucleotide unclassified non-coding RNA is filed under the name plant metagenome. RNAcentral's name for it is "partial contains small subunit ribosomal RNA, internal transcribed spacer 1, and 5.8S ribosomal RNA". The record is from RNAcentral.
UCUCCGUAGGUGAACCUGCGGAGGGAUCACUACAGGCUUGCAAAAGCUCUGAAACCACUGUUCAUCUACCUGAAUCUGCUUCGGAGGGGGGCCCCAGGGCGGGGUCGUAGCCGCAAGACGCCAGCCGAAGACCCCUAAACUCCUUCCUAUUGAGCAUCUCUGGGUAAUUAUAUGAAACACAAACAACUUUCAACAACGGAUCUCUUGGCUCUG